Molecule: ribosomal RNA, 1440 nt
Filed under: uncultured organism
Description: 16S ribosomal RNA
Rfam family: Bacterial small subunit ribosomal RNA
Source: RNAcentral
CAGGCUUAACACAUGCAAGUCGAGGGGCAGCAUGGUCUUAGCUUGCUAAGGCCGAUGGCGACCGGCGCACGGGUGAGUAACACGUAUCCAACCUGCCGUCUACUCUUGGACAGCCUUCUGAAAGGAAGAUUAAUACAAGAUGGCAUCAUGAGUCCGCAUGUUUACAUGAUUAAAGGUAUUCCGGUAGACGAUGGGGAUGCGUUCCAUUAGAUAGUAGGCGGGGUAACGGCCCACCUAGUCUUCGAUGGAUAGGGGUUCUGAGAGGAAGGUCCCCCACAUUGGAACUGAGACACGGUCCAAACUCCUACGAGAGGCAGCAGUGAGGAAUAUUGGUCAAUGGGCGAGAGCCUGAACCAGCCAAGUAGCGUGAAGGAUAACUGCCCUAUGGGUUGUAAACUUCUUUUAUAAAGGAAUAAAGUCGGGUAUGGAUACCCGUUUGCAUGUACUUUAUGAAUAAGGAUCGGCUAACUCCGUGCCAGCAGCCGCGGUAAUACGGAAGAUCCGAGCGUUAUCCGGAUUUAUUGGGUUUAAAGGGAGCGUAGAUGGAUGUUUAAGUCAGUUGUGAAAGUUUGCGGGCUCAACCGUAAAAUUGCAGUUGAUACUGGAUAUCUUGAGUGCAGUUGAGGCAGGCGGAAUUCGUGGUGUAGCGGUGAAAUGCUUAGAUAUCACGAAGAACUCCGAUUGCGAAGGCAGCCUGCUAAGCUGCAACUGACAUUGAGGCUCGAAAGUGUGGGUAUCAAACAGGAUUAGAUACCCUGGUAGUCCACACGGUAAACGAUGGAUACUCGCUGUUUGCGAUAUACUGCAAGCGGCCAAGCGAAAGCGUUAAGUAUUCCACCUGGGGAGUACGCCGGCAACGGUGAAACUCAAAGGAAUUGACGGGGGCCCGCACAAGCGGAGGAACAUGUGGUUUAAUUCGAUGAUACGCGAGGAACCUUACCCGGGCUUAAAUUGCAGAUGAAUUACGGUGAAAGCCGUAAGCCGCAAGGCAUCUGUGAAGGUGCUGCAUGGUUGUCGUCAGCUCGUGCCGUGAGGUGUCGGCUUAAGUGCCAUAACGAGCGCAACCCUUGUUGUCAGUUACUAACAGGUUCCGCUGAGGACUCUGACAAGACUGCCAUCGUAAGAUGUGAGGAAGGUGGGGAUGACGUCAAAUCAGCACGGCCCUUACGUCCGGGGCUACACACGUGUUACAAUGGGGGGUACAGAGGGCCGCUACCACGCGAGUGGAUGCCAAUCCCCAAAACCUCUCUCAGUUCGGACUGGAGUCUGCAACCCGACUCCACGAAGCUGGAUUCGCUAGUAAUCGCGCAUCAGCCACGGCGCGGUGAAUACGUUCCCGGGCCUUGUACACACCGCCCGUCAAGCCAUGGGAGCCGGGGGUACCUGAAGUGCGUAACCGCGAGGAGCGCCCUAGGGUAAAACUGGUGACUGGGGCUAAGU